This 359-nucleotide ribosomal RNA is filed under the name uncultured Streptococcus sp. RNAcentral describes it as "bacterial SSU rRNA". It matches the Rfam family "Bacterial small subunit ribosomal RNA", at positions 1027 to 1382 of the family's 1533-position model. The record is from RNAcentral. Lineage: Bacteria; Bacillati; Bacillota; Bacilli; Lactobacillales; Streptococcaceae.
AUCGGUGACAGGUGGUGGCAUGGUUGUCGUCAGCUCGUGUCGUGAGAUGUUGGGUUAAGUCCCGCAACGAGCGCAACCCCUAUUGUUAGUUGCCAUCAUUCAGUUGGGCACUCUAGCGAGACUGCCGGUAAUAAACCGGAGGAAGGUGGGGGAGUGACGUCAAAUCAUCAUGCCCCUUACUUGACCUGGGCUACACACGUGCUACAAUGGUUGGUACAACGAGUUGCGAGUCGGUGACGGCGAGCUAAUCUCUUAAAGCCAAUCUCAGUUCGGAUUGUAGGCUGCAACUCGCCUACAUGAAGUCGGAAUCGCUAGUAAUCGCGGAUCAGCACGCCGCGGUGAAUACGUUCCCGGGCCUU